Non-coding RNA from Macaca mulatta (Rhesus monkey), 726 nucleotides. NCBI's taxonomy places the organism in Eukaryota, Metazoa, Chordata, Mammalia, Primates, Cercopithecidae. The record is from RefSeq and is a predicted model, not a curated record.
CCCAGGUGUUUUCAUUUGUGAUCAGCACUGAACACAGAAGACUCAUCAUGGAGUUUGGCCUAAGCUGGGUUUUCCUUGUUGCUAUUUUAAAAGGUGUCCAGGGUGAGGUGCAGCUGGUGGAGUCUGGGGGCGGCUUGGCAAAGCCUGGGGGGUCCCUGAGACUCUCCUGUGCAGCCUCUGGAUUCACCUUCAGUAGCUACUGGAUGCACUGGGUUCGCCAGGCACCAGGGAAGGGGCUGGAGUGGAUCUCAGCUAUUAAUAGUGCUGGUAGUAGCACAUACUAUGCAGACUCCGUGAAGGGCAGAUUCACCAUCUCCAGAGAGAACGCCAAGAACACACUGUAUCUUCAAAUGGACAGCCUGAGAGCUGAGGACACGGCUCUCUAUUACUGUGCGGGAGACACAGUGAGGGGAGGUCAGUGUGAGCCCAGACACAAACCUCCCUGCAGGAACGCGGGGGGAAAUCAGCGGCAGGGGGCGCUCGGGACCCACUGAUCAGAGUCAACCCAGAGGCCGGUGCACACGGAGGCUGAUUUCCUACGAUCCUUACCGAGGAGAUGAGAAGUUCCCAGCCAUGGUCGCCACGAUCAGAGUCCUGAGGAAGCUCAGGCUUCCUGGUGUUCAGUGUGAGGUGCAGCUGAUUGAGUCCAUAGAGGACCUGAGAAAACCUGGGAAGUUCCUGAGACUCUCCUGUGUAGCCUCCAGAUUCGCCUGCAGUAGCUUCUGA